This 1777-nucleotide small RNA is filed under the name Acarospora umbilicata. Its description in RNAcentral is "eukaryotic LSU rRNA". The stretch from base 490 to 1777 matches the Rfam family "Eukaryotic large subunit ribosomal RNA", at positions 1 to 1114 of the family's 3401-position model. The record is from RNAcentral. Lineage: Eukaryota; Fungi; Ascomycota; Lecanoromycetes; Acarosporales; Acarosporaceae.
CAUUACAGAGUUAGGGUCUUUCAGGCCCGAUCUCCAACCCUAUGUGUACCUACCUUUGUUGCUUUGGCGGGCCCGCUGGGGUGACCCACCGGUGGCCUUUGGCUCCCGAGUGCCCGUCAGAGACCCAUUCAAAACCUGUUAAUUGUGCUGUCUGAGUACCAACAUAAUAAUUAAAACUUUCAACAACGGAUCUCUUGGUUCUGGCAUCGAUGAAGAACGCAGCGAAAUGCGAUAAGUAAUGUGAAUUGCAGAAUUCAGUGAAUCAUCGAAUCUUUGAACGCACAUUGCGCCUCUCGGUAUUCCGGGAGGCAUGCCUGUUCGAGCGUCAUUUCACCACUCAAGCCUUGCUUGGUGUUGGGCCCUCGUCCCCCGUGGACGUGCCCGGAAAUCAGUGGCGGCACAGCCCGGCUUCAAGCGGUAUCAAGUUUAUCUUCGCUUUGGAAGUUCGGUCCUGAGUCUGCCAGACAACCCCCCUCUUCUAUCAAAGGUUGACCUCGGAUCAGGUAGGGAUACCCGCUGAACUUAAGCAUAUCAAUAAGCGGAGGAAAAGAAACCAACAGGGAUUGCCUCAGUAACGGCGAGUGAAGCGGCAACAGCUCAAAUUUGAAAUCUGACCCUUUCAGGGUCCGAGUUGUAAUUUGCAGAGGAUGCUUCGGGUUCGGCUCCGGUCUAAGUUCCUUGGAACAGGACGUCAUAGAGGGUGAGAAUCCCGUAUGUGACCGGCCGCCACGCCCGUGUGAAGCUCCUUCGACGAGUCGAGUUGUUUGGGAAUGCAGCUCAAAAUGGGUGGUAAAUUUCAUCUAAAGCUAAAUAUUGGCCAGAGACCGAUAGCGCACAAGUAGAGUGAUCGAAAGAUGAAAAGCACUUUGGAAAGAGAGUCAAACAGUACGUGAAAUUGUUGAAAGGGAAGCGCUUGCAACCAGACUUGCCCGCGGGUGAUCAACCGGUAUUUUUACCGGUGCACUCGCCCGUGGUCAGGCCAGCAUCGGUUUGGGCGGCUGGAUAAAGUCCACUGGAAUGUAGCUCCUCUCGGGGAGUGUUAUAGCCAGAGGUGCCAUGCAGCCCGCCCGGACCGAGGACCGCGCUUCGGCUAGGAUGCUGGCGUAAUGGUUGUAAGCGACCCGUCUUGAAACACGGACCAAGGAGUCUAACAUCUAUGCGAGUGUUUGGGUGUCAAACCCAUGCGCGUAAUGAAAGUGAACGGAGGUGGGAACCCUCAAGGGUGCACCAUCGACCGAUCCUGAUGUCUUCGGAUGGAUUUGAGUAAGAGCAUAGCUGUUGGGACCCGAAAGAUGGUGAACUAUGCCUGAAUAGGGUGAAGCCAGAGGAAACUCUGGUGGAGGCUCGCAGCGGUUCUGACGUGCAAAUCGAUCGUCAAAUUUGGGUAUAGGGGCGAAAGACUAAUCGAACCAUCUGCUACUAGAUGGCAUACGGGCCGGGUGCCCCAGUAGUCCCCGUGCGGCGGGGGCGACAUCGUCGGUCUCUUCGGGAACGCCUCCGGGCUACCCGCAGUGAGCCUCGGGCUCAUCCACAGACUAAGUGGCGGUGGCCGUGCCCUGGAGCACGGUUAGGAUAUAGUCGAUUCCGUCCCUGAAGGGGCGGUCUGGCAGAGUAGCUGGUUCCUGCCGAAGUUUCCCUCAGGAUAGCAGUAACGUCUUCAGUUUUAUGAGGUAGAGCGAAUGAUUAGGGGCCUUGGGGUUGAAACAACCUUAACCCAUUCUCAAACUUCGAAUAUGUAAGAAGUCCUUGUUACUUAGUUGAACGUGGACAUUUGAAU